AAUACCUGAUGAUCUGUCACUUUCUCCCUUCAAGCUCAGAUGGGACCGUCUUGUUGCAGGAAAACAAGCUUAACAUGCCCACUGAUUCUAUAUUAUGGUGAGUUCUAUGAUUAUUUCAUUAUAUAUGACAAUGUAAUAAUGGAAAAAAGUGCCUAAUAAAUGUAAUGUGCUUGAAUCUUUUGGCUCAGCUCCUGCCUCCUGGCAGCCUCUCCAGGUCCAGAACUUUCUCCAGUCGGCCUCUACGGGUCAAGCUCAUGGCUCACAAUGGCCUAUUUAGGCCCAUACCCUACCUCAUGACAGCCUCCACAGGCCCAGCUCCAUCAUUACAACGGCCUCUUGAGGCCCAGCUCCUGCCUCCCAGCCUUCUCUCCAGGCCCAGAACUUUCUCAAGUCGACCUCACCAGGCCCAGCUACUGCCUCUCAUCAGCCUCCCAAGGGCCAGCUUUUGCUUCACAGCCACCUUCCAAAACUCAGCUCCUGUUUUACAGUGGCCUUUUGAGACCCACCUUCUGUCUCCUGGCGGCCUGCCCAGCUCCUGCCUUCCGUCAGCCUCUCCAGGCCCAGCUGCUGCCUCCAGGUGGCCUCUACAGGCCAAACUCUUUCUCCUGGCUGUGUCUGGAGGCCCAACUCCUGCCUCACAACAACCUCUUUUGGCUCAGCUCCUGCCCAGCUCCUGGUGGCCUUUGUAGGCCCAAAACUGCCUCAGGUCAAGUUCUCCAGACCCACUUCUGCCUCCCAAUGGCUUGGACAGGCCCAGCUCCUGUGUGA
Mandrillus leucophaeus (drill) is the source of this 768-nucleotide RNA transcript. RefSeq lists it as uncharacterized. The record is from RefSeq and is a predicted model, not a curated record. Lineage: Eukaryota; Metazoa; Chordata; Mammalia; Primates; Cercopithecidae. The transcript has 2 exons.